Molecule: long non-coding RNA, 585 nt
Organism: Lolium rigidum
Lineage: Eukaryota; Viridiplantae; Streptophyta; Magnoliopsida; Poales; Poaceae
Exons: 3
Source: RefSeq, a predicted model, not a curated record
GUGGAUGAAUCGGGAGCGGAUCGGGUGGCCGUCAUGGUCUUCUUCCCUACCAACAACAUUGGCCUGCCUGAUUAGUUUCAGGCGCAGUAGCACCUGAAGCUAGGUUUACCAGGACAACCUCCAUGUGAUUUGUGACUAUUUCAAAUUCUAUGCCUGAUGCCUCCCUUAUUGUUUGGAUUCACUUAUCUUCGUUCAGUAUAAGAGGAUAUAUGCAUGGGAAGUUUAUUACAGAUUGCACAAUAUAUACUUCUAAUGUUGUUCAGAUGAAACUGAUCCACAUAUUUAGUUGGACACUUGUACAAUGUUCGUAUGCAUAAGGAUGUAUGGUUGGUUUUGUACGGGAGCUGCUCUUCCAUGUGAAUGCAAUUCAAUCGAUCCACCGUGGUAUUCUGCCCACCUCUAGGAGAGGCUCUACAGGAUUUCUGAAUAAGAGCCCACAUGACAUGUUUAAUUCUCAUGGGGCAGUAAUUUCCAUUGUUUAGACAUCUGGAGUAGCUUACUUCUAUGGAGCGUUGUAACAUGUUGGACAUCAAUUGGCUCAUCAGAUGGGGUCUUGUAUUCAGUUUUCUUAUGAUGGUGAUAUCA